This 842-nucleotide long non-coding RNA is filed under the name Lynx pardinus (Iberian lynx). Lineage: Eukaryota; Metazoa; Chordata; Mammalia; Carnivora; Felidae. The record is from RNAcentral.
UAAUACAUGUGUAUGUAUGUAUGUUUGGGGUAGAGGGAUAUGACCCUUAUUGAGCUUAUCCACCAGAGUGGAAAUAAUGUCUGUAUAAAACAAAAUGUUUGUUACUAUGACUUCUACAUCAGAAUUAAAAUCCAGUCAACUCUAGGGAUGCCUGGGUGGCUCAGUCAGUUAAGCGUCUAACUUCGGCUCAGGUCAUGAUCUUGGCGGUUCAUGAAUUUGAGCCCCGCGUCGGGCUCUGUGCUGACAGCGCAGAGCCUGGAGCCUACUUUGGAUUCUGUGUCUCCCUCUCUCUCUGCCCCUUCUCCGCUUGUGCUCUGUCUCUCUCUCUCAAAAAUAAACAUUAAAAAUUUUUUUAAAUAAAUAAAAUCCAGUCAACUCUAUCAAAAUACUUUAGAAUCAAUAGCUUCUCUGAAGCCACAGUAACACUUAAAUAAGGUUAAGACUCAAAAGCAGAAAUUUGGUUGGUUGGAAAGCUAAUUAAACUUCCUACUUGCUCAAAUAGAAUUACAAAAGAACAGAAUUGUGUUUUUCACAGAGACAGAGUCCACUGGACUCACCAACACUGGACAGCUGUCAAGAGUGUUUAGUCCUGAGAUCAUAAGGAAUCCAGGCAUCCUUGGACAAGUAUUCUGUUGCCUUUUCUUCCCAAUCAGAGAUUUGUGGAUGUGACCCCACCACCAGCAAUUGUAGCCUUAAGGAGCGAGUCUAAUUCUUCAUCUCCACAAAUAGCAAGUUGCAGGUGAUGAGUGGUAAUAUGCUUUACCUUCAAGUCUUUUGAUCAUUUCCUGCCAGUCAGAGCCCCUCUGCGGUGACGUACUUACUCCAGGAUGGCUGCAUUGUAC